AAUAGUUUUAUGCCACAUCAUUACUCUUAUCUUGAAUUUCAGGAUUUUAUCCUGAAAAAAAUCAAAUCCAAAUUAAAAUACUGGAAUUUAGGAUAAGAAUACUGAUGUGGCAUAAAAUUAUU
RNAcentral lists this microRNA precursor (122 nucleotides) under Gossypium hirsutum (cotton). RNAcentral's name for it is "MIR7504 microRNA precursor family". It matches the Rfam family "MIR7504 microRNA precursor family". The record is from Rfam by way of RNAcentral. Lineage: Eukaryota; Viridiplantae; Streptophyta; Magnoliopsida; Malvales; Malvaceae.